Molecule: ribosomal RNA, 253 nt
Filed under: uncultured bacterium
Lineage: Bacteria
Description: partial 16S ribosomal RNA
Rfam family: Bacterial small subunit ribosomal RNA
Source: RNAcentral
GACAGAGGAGCCAAGCGUUGUCCGGAUUGACUGGGCGUAAAGCGCACGCAGGCGGUUGCGCGCGUGGGGGGUGAAAUCUGGCCGCUUAACGGCCAGGCGCCAUCCCAUACGGCGCGACUGGAGUGAUGCAGAGGUCGAUGGAAUUGCCGGUGUAGUGGUGAAAUGCGCAGAUAUCAGGAGGAACACCGGUGGCGAAGGCGGGUCUCUGGGCCGAUACUGACGCUGAGGAGCGAAAGCGUGGGGAGCGAACAGG